UACGUAGGGAGCAAGCGUUAUCCGGAUUUAUUGGGUGUAAAGGGUGCGUAGACGGGAUAACAAGUUAGUUGUGAAAACCCUCGGCUCAACUGAGGAACUGCAACUAAAACUAUUAUUCUUGAGUGCAGGAGAGGUAAGUGGAAUUCCUAGUGUAGCGGUGAAAUGCGUAGAUAUUAGGAGGAACACCAGUGGCGAAGGCGGCUUACUGGACAGUAACUGACGUUGAGGCUCGAAAGCGUGGGGAGCAAACAGG
RNAcentral lists this ribosomal RNA (253 nucleotides) under uncultured Eubacteriales bacterium. RNAcentral describes it as "uncultured Clostridiales bacterium partial 16S ribosomal RNA". It matches the Rfam family "Bacterial small subunit ribosomal RNA", at positions 524 to 776 of the family's 1533-position model. Lineage: Bacteria; Bacillati; Bacillota; Clostridia; Eubacteriales. The record is from RNAcentral.